UACAGAGGUCUCAAGCGUUGUUCGGAUUCAUUGGGCGUAAAAGGUGCGUAGGCGGCGCGGUAAGUCGGGUGUGAAAUCUCGGGGCUUAACUCCGAAACUGCAUUCGAUACUGCCGUGCUUGAGGACUGGAGAGGAGACUGGAAUUUACGGUGUAGCGGUGAAAUGCGUAGAUAUCGUAAGGAAGACCAGUGGCGAAGGCGGGUCUCUGGACAGUUCCUGACGCUGAGGCACGAAGGUCAGGGGAGCAAACGGG
This 253-nucleotide ribosomal RNA is filed under the name uncultured bacterium. RNAcentral's name for it is "partial 16S ribosomal RNA". It matches the Rfam family "Bacterial small subunit ribosomal RNA", at positions 524 to 776 of the family's 1533-position model. The record is from RNAcentral.